RNAcentral lists this ribosomal RNA (1639 nucleotides) under human gut metagenome. RNAcentral's name for it is "bacterial LSU rRNA". It matches the Rfam family "Bacterial large subunit ribosomal RNA", at positions 1013 to 2538 of the family's 2925-position model. The record is from RNAcentral.
GAAAGGGAAACAGCCCAGAUCGUCGUCUAAGGUCCCCAAGCGUGUGCUAAGUGGGAAAGGAUGUGGAGUCGCAUAGACAGCCAGGAGGUUGGCUCAGAAGCAGCCACCCUUGAAAGAGUGCGUAACAGCUCACUGGUCUAGUGGUUCCGCGCCGACAAUGUAGCGGGGCUCAAGCACACCACCGAAGACGCGGCAGUAGCUUUGCUACUGGGUAGGAGAGCGUCCCAUGCGGGGCGAAGCGGCGGCGCAAGCCCGCCGUGGACUGCAUGGGAGUGAGAAUGCAGACAUGAGUAGCGAAAGACGGGUGAAGAUCCCGUCCGCUGGACGACCAAGGGUUCCAGGGCCACGUUCAUCGUCCCUGGGUGAGUCGGGUCCUAAGGCGAGGCCGACAGGCGUAGUCGAAUGGAUGAACGGGUCGAUAUUCCCGUACCGGCAUGCAACCGACAAAACCGAAUCCGCGAGUACUAACCUCCGGGUCCGGGCUUACGUCUCCUUCGGGAGCCGGAUGCCCUGGCCUGUUGGGACCGUAACGGUAGUAGGUCAGCGCGGGAGUGACGCAGAAGGGUAGCCGGCCGCGGAGGUGGUCUUCCGUGGUCAAGCACGCAGCCCGUCCCACAGGCAAAUCCGUGGGGCGCGUGGGCGAGGUGCGAUGAUGGGCGCCGCAGGGCGCGAUAUCCGGUGAUCCCGGCUGCCGAGAAAAGCUUCGGCGUGAGGCGGCGUGCCGCCCGUACCCCAAACCGACACUGGUGGUCAGGUAGAGAAUACCAAAGCGAUCGAGCGAAUCCUGGUCAAGGAACUCGGCAAAUCACUCCCGUUCCUUCGGUUUAAGGGAGACCCCCGAUGGUGAAGCGGCUUGCCCGUGGAGCUUUUGGGGGUGGCACAGACCAGGGGGUAGCGACUGUUUACCAAAAACACAGGAGCGUGCGAAGGCGCAAGCCGCUGUAUACGCUCUGACGCCUGCCCGGUGCCGGAAGGUUAAGAGGAUCCGUCAGGCUUCGGCCGAAGCGGUGAAUUCAAGCCCCGGUAAACGGCGGUGGUAACUAUAACCAUCCUAAGGUAGCGAAAUUCCUUGUCGGGUAAGUUCCGACCUGCACGAAUGGCGUAACGACUUCCCCACUGUCUCGACCAGGAGCUCGGCGAAAUUGCAGUACGAGUAAAGAUGCUCGUUAAGCGCAGAAGGACGAAAAGACCCCGGGACCUUUACUAUACCUUGGUAUUGGCAUUCGGUGUGGAUUGUGUAGCAUAGGCGGAAGGCUUCGAAGCCACGGCGCCAGCCGCGGUGGAGCCGCAAGGUGAAAUACCGCUCUGUUCGCAUUGGAUGUCUAACCUCGACCAGUCAUCCUGGUCAGGGACAGUGCCUGGCGGGUAGUUUAACUGGGGCGGUUGCCUCCCAAAGAGUAACGGAGGCGCUCAAAGGUUCCCUCAGCCCGGUUGGCAAUCGGGUGGCGAGUGUAAGUGCACAAGGGAGCUUGACUGCGAGACUGACGGGUCGAGCAGGGACGAAAGUCGGAACUAGUGAUCCGGUGCCGGUGUACGGACGCGGCAUCGCUCAACGGAUAAAAGGUACCCCGGGGAUAACAGGCUGAUCAUUCCCAAGAGUCCAUAUCGACGGGAUGGUUUGGCACCUCGAUGUCGGCUC